RNAcentral lists this ribosomal RNA (490 nucleotides) under uncultured eukaryote. Its description in RNAcentral is "SSU rRNA". It matches the Rfam family "Eukaryotic small subunit ribosomal RNA", at positions 202 to 692 of the family's 1831-position model. The record is from RNAcentral.
UGUAUUUAUUAGAUAAAAAACCAAUGCCCUUCGGGGCUUUUUGGUGAUUCAUGAUAACUUUACGGAUCGCAUAGCCUUGCGCUGGCGACGGUUCAUUCAAAUUUCUGCCCUAUCAACUUUCGAUGGUAAGGUAUUGGCUUACCAUGGUUUCAACGGGUAACGGGGAAUUAGGGUUCGAUUCCGGAGAGGGAGCCUGAGAAACGGCUACCACAUCCAAGGAAGGCAGCAGGCGCGCAAAUUACCCAAUCCCGACACGGGGAGGUAGUGACAAUAAAUACUGAUACAGGGCUCUUUUGGGUCUUGUAAUUGGAAUGAGUACAAUUUAAACCUCUUAACGAGGAACAAUUGGAGGGCAAGUCUGGUGCCAGCAGCCGCGGUAAUUCCAGCUCCAAUAGCGUAUAUUAAAGUUGUUGCAGUUAAAAAGCUCGUAGUUGAAAACUUGGGCCUGGCUGGCGGGUCCGCCUCACCGCGUGCACUCGUCCGGCCGGGC